AACUUUUGGCAACGGAUCACUUGGCUCUCGCAACGAUGAAGAACGCAGCGAAAUGCGAUACGUAUGUGAAUUGCAGAAUUCCGUGAAUCAUCGAAUCUUUGAACGCAACUUGCACUCUACCUUGGUAGAGUAUGCCUGUUUGAGAAUCUAUAGUAUUUCUUGCCCCUCUUUCUCUUCAUUGAGAGUGAGACGGCAGAUUUGGGAGUUUCCCGGCGCAAGCAGGGAUCUCUUUAAAUAGGUAGCUGUUUUUGUCAGCGCCAACUGUUUGAAUAGACCUCGGUCUUUACUGCAGUUGAACAAGCGUUGAAUAUAUAAAGACAGUCCAUAAAUUUAAAGCUUCGUCGCAAGGCGAAACUUGAACCAUGGUCUCAAAUCAGGUAGGAGGACCCGCUGAACUUAAGCAUAUCAAUAAGCGGAGGCU
Molecule: unclassified non-coding RNA, 421 nt
Filed under: uncultured Chytridiomycota
Lineage: Eukaryota; Fungi; Chytridiomycota
Description: sequence contains ITS2
Rfam family: 5.8S ribosomal RNA (bases 1-149)
Source: RNAcentral